GUUGAAACGCUUGUGGUAUAAUUGCUUAAGGAUUGGUAGCUGAUUCAGGUUUGGUGUCUUUGGAAGGGAAUGUGGACUUUGGUAACUCAGGCAAGUGGGGAAAAGUUGGCAGUUCAGGUUUUGGCAACUCAGGCAAGUGGGGAAAAGCUGGCAGUUCAGGCUUUGGAAACUCAGGCAAUUCAGGUUUUGGCAGCGUGGGAAUUUCAGGCUUCGACAACUCAGGCAAUUCAGGUAAUUUUGGCAGAGUGGGAAGUUCAGGUUUAGGAAAGGUUGGGACUUCAGGUAAUGGUGGAAGCUCAACCUUAGGAAGUAAUGGCAAGUCAGGCAAUUCAGGCUUAGGAAGCUCCGGGACCUCAGGUAAUGUUGUCUCUAGAAGCUGUCGUGCUUCUGCAGAGAUUGACAGAGCAACGAGUGAGAGCAGAACAAUGAGUGAAGGGGAGCGAAGAUUGGCCAUAACUAUGCAACAAGAUCAAUCAGCUGUAAAUACAAUUUAUCCUCACUUUUGUUUUGUGUGUGUUGAUGUUCACUUGUGUUGAGCUUUUAUAGAAGUGGGAAGUGAAGAAUGGGGAACUUCCAAAGGUGAUUUAGUGGGAAAAGUUGUGUUAGCUCAACUUCCCACCCAUAAGACUCCCACUGUUGGCAUGACCAACUAUAGACUUCCUUACAAGUGUAACCUUGCUAUCUUUCUAUAUGGAGUCCAGAGAUUGGUUAGAUUGAUAAUAAGCUAAAAUAUGGUUCUCACUUGUAAUCAUUCUCAGAAAUCAGAACACUUGUGAAGUUCAAGCUUUUUCACCUAUUUAAUAAUUCACUUCUUUCCUGUUCUACCUACAAAAGAUGAGAUUCUGAAGAAUGGUUCUUCUUUAGUUACUUUAAAAUAAUGUUCAACGAAGAUAGCCUCAUCUGCAAAGUUGGCCAACCUACACACUAAACUUUGACAUGUCUUUCUUUUUAUUGAAGCUCUGACUGAUCUUCACAUCACAUCCAAUUAUCCACAAGGUACUCUUCUAUUUGAAAUUAAGAAUUUUAUUAAAAAUUAAUUCAAUUGAUUUCUUUUAUAUCAAUCUCUUGGUUGGAAUGAGAUUCAAUUUUUUUGACUUAUAAAAUUUUCAUAUUAAAAAAAUUGAAACCAUGUGUAUUCUUGUAAGAAUUUAUUUAUAUUCUUUUUUUUUUCAAACUGAAUCAUUGCAAACAAAAGGACUAUAUAAGGUAGUAUAUAUGAUUCUCAGUUGUAAUUAUAACAGUUCAAAAUAUGUCUAAUCACAUUAGUUUCGGUAGAUCUUCAACAAACUGAAAAUUACUAAUGUUUACAACGGAAUCUGUCUCAGCAAUAUGUAAUCUCCAUAUGCUUUUUUAGUUUUCAGAAACCUUGUAAUUUUUACAGAAUAAAGGAAUUUUACCAUUACGGGUGUAACAUCUAGUUAAACUCCGAUGUCGGAAUCUCAACGUUCUGACGGAAUCUCCGUCGAGAUCCAGAAUCUCGAAGCUAAAAUUUUUAGAAGGAUAAAAUAGAGUUUUCAUAAAAUGAAUUAAAAAUUUUUCUUGGUGUGUUUUAAAAAAAAAUAAAAAAUUUAGAGGAGUUUUAAAGUUCGGCCGCCGAAGACGGCUCUUCCAGCCACUUAUAAAAGGCCUUCAACCCAAAAAUAUGAGAACUCUUUCUCUAUUUUCGAGCAGAGGUAAGUCCAUGCCCUUUUCCAGACAUUCUUGCUAAAAUUACUUCAAAUCUCUUGGAGAAUACAUGAGUUUUUACUUCAUUUUUUAAGAUUUGAGUUUGGAUUUCAAGCUUUAAACUUUGGAGACCUCCGAAAAUCGAUUUCCCAAUUCUCCAAAUCUUGGUUGUUGUGUUUUCUAUGUUUUUCAAGAGGUAAGUUCAAUCUUUGCUUUUCUUAUGCUUUUUGAAGGUUUUAAACCGAUAUUAUAAGUUGUUAGGACAUGCAUGAUUGAUUAUUCUAAAGUUUUAAAGUUUGAGUUAGUUUUGAUGAUGGAUGAUUUUCUCCUGGGAUUUUGUUGAUGCAUGUUGAGUUUAGAACAGUUUUUGAGGUCUCUUAUGCGUGUUAAGUGUGUAUGGUAGUCUUUAGCCUGUUGCAUGUAAGUUUGGGUUUGUUUAUUGGCUAUGAGCAUAGGGCAAAAUCAGGUUCUGCCUUACUGGAGAUCCUAGGUUCAGCCGCUGAAGCAAGGUUCGGCCACCAAAUCUGUCUGUAGAGGCAGCCAUUUGGCCACCUAACCUGCCGCUGAAAGUCCUCUGUUCAGCCUUUUUCAGCUUGUUUCCUACGUGUGUUCUUGUAUGUUCUUAGGGGUUUUCUUGAGGGUAGUUUAAGUAUUGUAAUAGUUAUGUUUGGUUCCUCAUUUAAAUCCAUCUAUGUAGGAUCGGACUUUGGAGACUGUAGAGGCUUGCAGUGAGAUAACUGCUUCAGUACUAGGCGUGCAUCAGUCAAAGGUGAGUAGAACUGAACUGAUAUAUUAUUUUAAAGAAAUCAAACUUUUUAAGCAUACUCAUACAUCACGAAUGUCAUGUAUAUACGAUUAGGUUGUUUUGCAUUAGAGUUCACGAAUAUAAUACAUUGCAUAAAUUAUUGUUGUUGUGGAUGGACGUUGGAUGACCCACUAGCCCUCGAGUAUGUUAUGAUAUGUUAUGAUGGAUAUGGAAAGACUAGGGUUGCCUAUUCUACGCCUCUGGCACUAUGUAAGGGAAAGACCAGGGCUGCCCAUUCUAUGCCCCUUGCACUAUGGAUAUGUUAUGUUAUAUUUAAGAGGAAAACCUGAGGAGCACUCGUCGUGGGCCGAGCACUAUUGAAAUCUGUAGAGGGUUACUGAUGACAAGUCCAUUUUGAUGUAAAUUGUUUGUGCUGUGAUGCAUUCAUACAAUCAUAUAUUUUAUUGAACUGUUUUUUUAUGUUCUGCUCACUAGACUCUUAUAGUUUAUCCCCUUUCCCCUAAUCCCAGGUUUGCAGGAUCAAAGUUAGCUCGGGAAGUCGGCUGAGUUGCUGGUAUAGCCUAUUGUAAUAGUAUAGCUAUGGAAAUAUAUUCAUUUGUGGAUUAGAAUUGUGCUUUGCCCGGGUUCUUCCUUGUAAUCCUUGUUUCAUGAUCAUUUUAUAUAAAAGUUUUUAAGUAUAAGUUUAUGUUUAAAUCGAGCUUGAGGCAUGUUAUGUCACACCCAUUCUCAAAACUGUGGAGAUGGAUAUGACCCGAAAAACUGACAGAACUUCCCCUGUUGUUAAUACAUAUAACUCAUAUGACCUGCUAUAAUUUCAAAAUAUAAAACAUAUAAGAGAUGAUUGAUAGCUAGACUGGUCAAUACAUAAUAUAUUUACAAUAAACAAAACACGUUCAUCAUUUGAAUUUACAAUCUAUACAUAAUCUGUCAAAAUUACAAAAAGAAAAGACAAGACCUAGGAUUGGUCCGACCUCCUCUAGACUCUGAGUGGACGAUGUGGAAGGAAUAACAAACUAGGAGAUGAGGACUGCUGAGCGGAUCACCAAAAAAAAACUGAAUAUUAAAAGAAAUAAGAGUGAGUACAACAUAUUCAGUGAGUGGAUAAAUAAAUAACAAAGGGGAAAAGAUAAGUUUAGGUAAUUAAUAGUACCAAAUAUUUAGCUAAAAUAAGUCAGCUGAAUAAAUACAAUUUAAUUCCUAGGCCUGGGCCUUAUAUGUUAUGUUGACCAUACCGAAGCAUUUGAUGAGGGCUCUAGUAUAGGUUUUAUGUUUUCAGUUACGAUGCAUGCACAAGUCGAGUCUUGGUUCAUGUAAUAAUUAUAUUUUUGUUGUUUGUAUGAUCAUGCAUGGAAUUAUAUCAUAUGUAAUAGGAUGUAUAGUAUGCUUGCUGUGGGCUCCAGUGACCUUAAGUCGAUUUGAACCCUAGCACCGGUAGUGGUCUGGUUCCCGGGUCGUUACAGAGUGGUAUCAAAGCCCUAGAUUCAUAUGACUGGGCCUAGAGUGUUGGGCUCAUAGAUGUUAUAGAGGGCAAAUACAAUUAGGAAAUAUUAUAUCCACUAGGAUAGAAUGUAGAGUCUUGUCAUGAUAUAUGUGAUAACCUCCAGAUCUUUCCUAGCCCAGGAAUAAGGUCGGGUCCAAAAGAAGGCACAGGUCCAAAGCCCAUCAGAUCAUACGCUCGAGAGGCGGCUCGACUUCACGAGCCUGGGCCGGCAACCCAGGAUGAUCCGGAUCAGAUAUGAGCACAAGCCCCAUAAGGGAGUAGGCCCAAUCACUCACCAGCUCUACCCGCAUGCUCUCUGGAGAGCAUUAAAUGGCCGUUACGCAUGGAGCAGGUGCCUGACACGCCCGUAUGUACGGGCCUGAGUGACAAGGACAGGAAGCACUAUAUAUCGGGGGGUCUCCUCUUGCAAGGGGGAUCUUCUUCUUUUUCUUCUCCUGCCUGGACUCCAUUUUUAUUUUCUCUGCAACUCUUGCCUAGAUAUACUACUCUUAUUCAUGAAACCUGACUUGAACGUCGGAGGGUCUCCGCUGGGGCAUCCCGGUGGACCCUUGACCAUUUUUCCUUAUUUUGCAGGUCCCUUUCUCAGAUAGAACAUGGAGAGACCCAUUUGACAGAUUCGUCUGGGAGCCCAAGAAGGAAUCAGAUCCACAUAAGAGGGGGCGAGGGAGGACCAGAUCUAACAAAUAUGGAGCCCAGGGAGAUUUAAAGUUAUCAAUAUGUAUAAUGAUGUAUAAUGUCAUGACUAUAUACAUGUGCAUUGAUGAUAUGAUAGGUAUGAUGUGGGUUCAUGUGUAUCCACAUGAACCAUAUGAUGCUAAUGCCUAUAUGUUUAAAUGAUUUUUCAGAAGACAGAAUGCAUGGCUUAUGUCGAUCUGUACGAUUGACUAGAGUCCCAUCCGAAAAAUGAGGGUAUAGACGCCCUUCCUCCUGCUGCUCCGUCAAGAGUGCGGUCAAGUAGAAAUAACAAGAAUGAAAAGUCAAGAGACCCUAUAAUGUCUUUUAAUAUAAACAAAAAGAGAACAGAUCCGAGUAGGAUGUUUGCAGAUGCCAGAAAAACAGUAGGAAAUGAUUAGAGGAGAGAUAGAAGUUUGGGUAUGAGUUUUGAAGUAGAGGGUGUGGGAGAGUCUGAAAGAGGAACAGAAGGCGUCAGACCAUAGGAUCCGCCUAUCCACCUCAGUACCAACCCUAUGCACAGGAACUCGGGUAUCCGAUGGAAAGUACAACAGAUUACUCUAGCUACCACCCAUACCCCUCAUUCAUACCCUAUCCUCCUUGCUAUUCAUUAUAUCCACCCUACCCUAUCUUAUGUUUUCGCCUCCUCCCCAUUACUAGAAUUUGGCAAACUCUAACUCAGGAAAUGUUGCACCACCUCCUCCUCCAGCAAAACCAGCUAGAAAAAAGUUUUUAUACCCAGAUAGAAAAAAGUUUUUUCUUCAAACUAUAUCAUUCAUUUUAUUUUAUUUACAAUUUUAAUUAAAUCAGUUUUUGAUAAUUUUUCAAAAAAUUAAAUUUGAAAUAAAACAGAUAUUUUUUUUAAAAAUUUUAGGACAUUAAUAAUUUUUAACUUUGAUUAGCAAUUUAUAAUAUUAAACAUUAUACUUUUUAAUUAACAACAAUUCCAUUUAAUUUUCUAAGUUCAGUAAUUCUCUUUAUGGCCCUGAACUAUUUAAUAAGAUUGAUGAGGGUCAUAGCAAAAACCAAAUAAAUAAACUGGAUCAAUUUUGUAUAUAGAAUAUAAACAUACAACGUACAUCAUACAAAAGCUGAAACAAAAAUAUUAUAGGACUAAAACUCACUUCAAAUUUAAGCAUGCAUAUAUAUAACAUAUGAAUCAGACACUUAAGAACACAUAAAUGAUACUGAUCAAUGCAAAAGCUGAAGUCAUCACAGCGAGAUCAAACGUUGAAACCCUUGUGGUAUAAUUGCUUAAGGAUUGGUAGCUGAUUCAGGUUUGGUGUCUUUGGAAGGGAAUGUGGACUUUGGUAACUCAGGCAAGUGGGGAAAAGUUGGCAGUUCAGGUUUUGGCAACUCAGGCAAGUGGGGAAAAGCUGGCAGUUCAGGCUUUGGAAACUCAGGCAAUUCAGGUUUUGGCAGCGUGGGAAUUUCAGGCUUCGACAACUCAGGCAAUUCAGGUAAUUUUGGCAGAGUGGGAAGUUCAGGUUUAGGAAAGGUUGGGACUUCAGGUAAUGGUGGAAGCUCAACCUUAGGAAGUAAUGGCAAGUCAGGUAAUUCAGGCUUGGGAAGCUCCGGGACCUCAGGUAAUGUUGUCUCUAGAAGCUGCCGUGCUUCUGCAGAGAUUGACAGAGCAACGAGUGAGAGCAGAACAAUGAGUGAAGGGGAGCGAAGAUUGGCCAUAAUUAUGCAACAAGAUCAAUCAGCUGUAAAUAAAAUUUAUCCUCACUUUGUUUUGUGUGUGUUGAUGUUCACUUGUGUUGAGCUUUUAUAGAAGUGGGAAGUGAAGAAUGGGGAACUUACAAAGGUGAUUUAGUGGGAAAAGUUGUGUUAGCUCAACUUCCCACCCAUAAGACUCCCACUGUUGGCAUGACCAACUAUAGACUUCCUUACAAAUGUAACCUUGCUAUCUUUCUAUAUGGAGUCCAGAGAUUGGUUAGAUUGAUAAUAAGCUAAGAUAUGGUUCUCACUUGUAAUCAUUCUCAGAAAUCAGAACACUUGUGAAGUUCAAGAUUUUUCACCUAUUUAAUAAUUCACCUCUUUCUUGUUCUACCUACAAAAGAUGAGAAUCUGAAGAAUGGUUCUUCUUUAGUUACUUUAAAAUAAUGUUCAAUGAAGAUAGCCUCAUCUUCAAAGUUGGCCAACCUACACACUAAACUUUGACAUGUCUUUCUUUUCGUUGAAGCUCUGACUGAUCUUCACAUCCAAUUAUUCAAGUUAAUCUUCUAUUUGAAAUUAAGAAUUUUACUAAAAAUUAAUCCAAUUGAUUUCUUUUAUAUAGAUCUCUUGGUUGGAAUGAUAUUCAAUUUUUUUUUAACUUAUAAAAUUUUUAUAUUAAAAAAAUUAAAACUAUGUGUAAUCUUGUUAGAAUUUAUUUGUAUUAUUUUCUUUCAAACUGAAUCAUUGCAAACACAAGGACUAUAUGAGAGAGUAUAUAUAAAUCUCAGUUGUAAUUAUAACAGUUUAGAAUAUGUCUAAUCACAUUAGUUUUGGUAUAUCUUGAACAAACCGAAAAUUACUAAUGUUUAUAACGGAAUCUGUCUCAACAACAUCUAAUCUCGAUAUGCUUUUCCAAUUAAUCUCGAUAUGCUUUUCCAAUUUUCAGAAGCCUUAUAACUUUUACAGAAUAAAAGAAUUUUACCACGGAGAGUUCAUUUAAUCUUUGAUUUGAUUUGAGUAAAAAUAAAUAAAUUGAAUUAAAUCAAACCAAAUUUUGAAGAGUUCAAACUUAUUUUUUAAAUUUUUUUUAAGUUUGAGUUUCAUUUUGAACUUGAGCCAAGUAUUAAUAAGCUUAAAUUUGGCUCAUUUAGCAAACGAAUUUAGAUAAAUCGAAUUUUUAUCGAGUUUAGUUUUGAAUAAUUUACGAAAAGUUCAAUUUAUUUACAUAUAUAUAUAUAAUAAGAUUUAGUUGAAAACUAAUACGUUUAAAACUAAAUAAUUUUAGUUAAAUAAGUAUAUAUAUAAAUUAGCUUUUAAAAUUAUAAAGGAUGAGUUUUUAAAUUUUAAUGAUUCAAAUAUCUAUAAAUUUUAAAAGUAUAAUUAAACUAUGCAAGUUGAACUUUAAAAAACUUAGAUCUGAUUCAUGAAAAUAUAUACAAAGUAUAAUUUAGUUCUCUUAUAAUAUUACUUUCCGUAUGCUUAUUUGAGACCGUUUAUAAGUUUGUUCGCGAGCUUGCUCAUAAAUUCGAAAAUGAGCUGAAUUCGUGAGUCUUAAAGAGUCUAAUACAAAUGAAUCUGAAAAUUAAGUUCAAUCUUGAUUCAUUUAGAAAUCAAGUUGAGUUUGAUUGAACUUUUUAUCGAAUUGAACUUUCAAUAAUUCACGGACAAUUUAAUCCAUUUACACCACUAAUAGUUAUUUAGGGUCAGAUAUAAUUGCGCUCUAUAAUAGUAGAACUAAAGAGUUGGUUCUAUUAAUUACCACAGAGCCAAUCUAUUAUUGGUCGUUGAUAGAUGCGCAUUGUGGGAGUAACCCUAAUGGAAAAAUUAAUUGAUUGAAAGCUUACUUUGUAGUCAAUAAAUUACCACUAAAAUAUGAGCUUGAUUACAAUAAUAUUUUGACUCAAAUGGCUAAAAUUUUAUCAAUUCGUCUUCUUGUCUCCUUAACAACAUCCACAUCAUUGGCCUCUUUAUUGAAUAGAUAAAAAAAAUUACUUUUUAUACGAAGAACUUAUAAAGAAAGUUCUUAUAAAGCAAUCAUCAGACCAUCAGAGUUUGUUGCUGAGAGGAUCAGGCAUGGUAUGCCAUUUAUGACAAAUACCACACGGGUUAAAAGUAGCCUGUAAGGAUGUUGUUUGGAUAGUUUAGUAAUGGGAUCCAACAGAUUAGGAUGUGUAGGAGUGAAGCCUAAUGUGCCCCUUAUAUGGGUCAUAGGCAAUCCUCCCCCUUGAGCUAGCUUUUGGGGUGAGUUAGGCCUGGCCCAAAUUUAACUUGGUAUCAAAGCCUCCCCAUCCGAUGUUGGGCCUCCCAUAAAUGUGUCACGCACCAGUAAAAUUCUGGGCGUGAGGGGGGUAUGUUGAAUCCCACAUCGGUUGUGGAAAGGGGUAAUGUGCCCCUUAUAUGGGUCAUAUAUAUAUAUAUCAUUAAAUAAAGCAUAAUUCUUGUAUAGAUUGAGUCUAUACGGACAUGUAGUAUAAAUUAUAUGUGAUUUGUUAUAGCUGUCACUACUAUUUUAUAUUACAGUCUGAUGACUGCUGGAUUUCUUCACCCCGACCUAAAGGCCAGGCCCCUGAAAACAGUCCAUAAUCCGAAGGCUUCAAUAUUCCCCUCGAGAGCCAGGUCUAGCCCGCUCAGUCACAGGGCCGGACUCUGCCUAGACUCCUCAAUCAAGCCGGCCCAAACCUCUCGGCCCAAUAAUCAGGCCCUCACCAGGCUCAACUUCAGCCCUACCAUUCAACCCAGCCCAGAAAGAGGAAAAUGACUAACCUGCCCCGCUGAUGGGUCCUUCCGCAUGCGUAUCAGAGGAGAAUUAAUGGUCGUUACGCAUGGAGCAGGCGCCUGACACAUCCGUACAUACAGAGCUGGGCGGCAGAAGACAGCUAGCAUUGUGGCAGAGAGACAGAUAUAUAUAUUACAGUAGAGGCCACGCAAAAGAGGGGGCUCUCUCUUCUUCUUCCUUCUCCUUCCUGGACACCAUUUUUAUUCUUUCUGCAACCCUUGCCUAAAUAUACUACUCUGAGCCAUAAAAUCUGACUUGAGCGUCGGAGGGCCUCCACCGGGGCACCCCCGGUAGGCCCCUGACCAUUCUUUCUUAUUUUACAGGUCCUUUCACCAGGUAAAACAUGGAGAGAUCCAUCAGGGAGCCCAGCAAGAAGGGACCCAGAAGAAAACCAGAUCUAUCAUGGACCAGGAAGAGGAAAAAAUUUAUCACAGUCCAUAUAAAACCGGUGUAGAUAAGUUUUUGCCCUUCAAGGAAAAUUGGUAAAAGAAUAUAAUUAGUAAAUUCUUUCAAUUUUUAGUAUAUGGAAAAUAAUUAUCACCCAUGAUUGAAUUAUUGGACAACAUCAUCAAAGAGAACUCUAGCAAAGUCCUUUCGUAUUUUCAUAUUUUCACUCUGUACCGAAUAAUUUUUGUUUUUUUUUUUUAAAUGAGAAUUGGAGAUUAGGAGAGUAGAACCUAAGCUUGUAAAUGCAGAUUGAAUAGUCUUAUAAUUGAAAUAUCUAAAUAAAAUCAUAAACAAAAUGAAUUUUAACUCAGAUCUUAACAAAUUAAUAUAAUAAUCUCAAUUUGAUCUAGUGUAUCUUUUGAUUUACAGUUUUUUAAGUCAAAUGUCAAUGAUAAAUUUAAAAUUUUAGUAGUUUUUUUCUCGUAACUCUAUUCCUAUUAUUAGAAUCUCUCUUUUACCGAAAAAUUCUUCAUAGUUAUGGAGGAAAAAUUUUUCUUUUUCUUGAAAAACUUAUCAUUUAUUUUAUUUUAUUUAUAAUUUUAAUUAAAUCGGUUGUUCAUAAUUUUUCAAAAAUUUAGAUUUGAAAUAAAAUAUAUUUUUUUUAAUUUUAGGCCAUCAGUAAUUUUUAAGUUCAGUGACUCAUAAUAUUAAAUUUAUAUUUUUUUAAUUCACAACAAUAUUUUAAUUUUUAAGUUCUGUAAAUUCUUGUGGCUCUGUGUGAAUGUGCUUGGAUCAUGAACUAUCAAUAAGAUUCAUCACAAUCAUACCCAAGAUCAAGAUCAAAUAAAUAAGCUGAUCAACUCUGCAAAUAGAAUAUAAACUGUACAUCAUACAAAUAUUUGAAAUAUAAAGAUUACAGGACUAACAUCCACUCCAAAUUUAAUCAUAUAUAUAUGUAAUCAAUGAUACUGAUCAAUGCGAAAGAUGAAGUCAUCACUGUGAGAUCAAACAUCGAAACAUUUAUGGUAUAGUUGUUUAAGGACUGGGAGUUGAUUGAGGAGGUUUUGUGUCCUUGGCAAGGAAUGUGGGCUUUGGUAACUCUGGCAAGUGGGGAAAAGUUGGCAGUUCAGGUUUUGGUAACUCAGGCAAUUCAAGUUUUGGCAAAGUGGGAAUUUCAGGCUUUGGCAACUCAGGCAAUUCAGGUUUUGGCAGUGUGGGAAGUUCAGGCUUAGGGAAGGCUGGGACUUCUGGUAAUGGUGGAAGCUCAACCUUAGGCAGUGAAGGCAAUUCAGGCUUGGGAAGCUCAGAUACCUCAGGCAAUGCUGUUUUUAGAAGGUGUCGUGCAUCUACGGAUUGACAGAGUGAUAAGUGAGAGCAUAAUGAUGAGGGAAGGGGAGCGAUGAUCGGCCAAAAUGCGACAAGAUCAACCACCUGCAAAGUGAAUAGUAAUUAAAAUUUCUGGACAAUUUUGUUUUGCGUGUUGAUGUUCACUUAGUGUUGAGCUUUUAUAGAAGUGGGAAGUGGAGAAUGGAGAACCUUCAAUGGUAAUUUGGUGGGAAAACUUGUGUCCUGUUAGCUCAACUUCCCAUCUAUAAUCCUCCAACAACUGGCAUGACCCAUUAUAGGCUUCCAUACAAAAGUAAUCUUUCCGUCCUUCUACAUGGAUUCAAGAGAUUAGUUGGAGAGAACCACAGCUAAAAGAUUGACAUUAAGCUAAAAUAUGUUGUCAGAAAUCACAACACUUGUCAAGUUCAAGCAUUUUUACAAAUUUAAUAAUUCACCACCACUAAACUUUGACAAAUCUUCCUUUAUUGCAACGCUUAUUGUUAUUGUUGGAAUUUAAUGACUGACCGAUCCAAAUCUCCAUGCGAUGAAAGUGUUGAAUUCCAAUUUAAUAUGAUGGCCUCUUCUAAAAUACUUCUAGACAAUUUAAAUUAAAUUUCAAUUAACUUAUCAUAUUAUAAAGCUUAUUAUUAUCAAUGUCAAGACUACGUUAUGAAAAAUAUCUUUCAUAUUUUUUGUUAUUUGGAAUAAUGAGAAAAAUUAAUCAAUAAAAAUAUUUUCUUGAUUAAAGAAAAAAUUAAAUCAUUUUAAAAAAAUACUGCUUCUUGGCUCUUUCUUUCUCAUCAAUUCUAUUUUCCUGUUGUGCUCUUCCAACAAAUCCAUAGUCACCAACUUGCCCUUUGAAAUUUAAAUUAUUGGACGACAUCAUCAACGAGAAUUCUAGCAAAGUUCUCUAAUAUUUUCUUCAUCAAUGUUGAAUUUUGAGAGGGAAGGGGAAUAAUACAUAUGAAUGCGACUAAAUAGUCUUACAAUUUUAUUGAUUGUAUUGUUAUUUAUACAGUCAAAUAUAAUUAAAAAAUCUAAAUAAAAUUAUAAAUAAUUUAAAUAUUAACUUAAAUAUUAAUAAAUUAAAAUAAUGAUUCAAAUUUAAAUUAUAUGAUUUAGCAUAUUUUUCGGUUUCUAAAUCAAAUAUCCAACGAUCAAUUUAAAAUUUUAGUACUCAUAAGCCCUUGGUAUUAUUAGAAACUCUCUUACUAAAAUUUUUUAAUAAUUAUAAAUAAAAAAGUUUUAUUUUUCUUUCAUAAUAUUAGAAAUAAAACCAUAUCAUUUAUUUUAUUUAAUUUGUAAUCGAAUUAAAUCGGUUGUUCAUGAUUUUUUGAAAAAUUAGAUUUAAAAUAAAAUGGAUAAUUUUUUAAUUUUAGGCCAUCAAUAAUUUUUAAGUUCAGUAAUUCAUAAUACUAAAAUUUUUUAAAAAAAUUCACAACAACAAUUUAAUUUUUAAGUUCAGUAAUAAUUUCUCUUUGUGGCUCUGCAUGAAAGUGCUUGGAUCAUGAACUAUUAAAUAAGAUUGAUCAGUCAUACCCAAAAUCAAAUAAAUAAGCUGGAUCAACUCAGUAUAUAGAAAAUGAACUCACAAGAUACAUCAUUCAAACAACUGAAACAGAAAUAUUAUAGGACUACCACUCACUGCAAAUUAAUCAUGUAUAUGUAAAAGAAGAUAUAAAUGAUACUGAUCAAUGCGAAAGAUGAAGUCAUCACUGUGAGAUCAAAUAUAGAAACACUUAUGGUGUAGUUGUUUAAGGACUGGUGGUUGAUUGAGGAGGUUUUGUGUCCUUAGAAGGCAAUGUGGGCUUUGGCAACUCAGGCAAGUGGGGAAAAGCUGGCAAUUCAGGCUUUGGCAACUCAGGCAAUUCAGGUUUUGGCAGUAUGGGAAGUUCAGGUUUAGGAAAGGUGGAGACUUCAGGUAAUGGUGGAAGCUCAACUUUAGGCAAUGAUGGCAACUCAGGCUUGGGAAGCUCAGGUACCUCAGGCAAUUCUGUCUCCAGAAGGUGUCGUGCAUCUACAGAGAUUGAUAGAGUGAUGAGUGAGAGCAUAAUGAUGAGGGAAGAGCGAAGAUCGGCCAUAAUGCUAU
RNAcentral lists this long non-coding RNA (12841 nucleotides) under Manihot esculenta (cassava). Its description in RNAcentral is "long non-coding RNA (MESC_LNC003822)". The record is from RNAcentral. Lineage: Eukaryota; Viridiplantae; Streptophyta; Magnoliopsida; Malpighiales; Euphorbiaceae.